Acanthopagrus latus (yellowfin seabream) is the source of this 470-nucleotide long non-coding RNA. RefSeq lists it as uncharacterized. NCBI's taxonomy places the organism in Eukaryota, Metazoa, Chordata, Actinopteri, Spariformes, Sparidae. The transcript has 4 exons. The record is from RefSeq and is a predicted model, not a curated record.
AUAUAGAUGGGUGAUGUGUAUCAGUCUUACAGUAGAAACAGACAUUUACAUUAACUGUAAACGUCUCACUGCUCUGUUUGAAAACAGCCUUUUGGCUCUGACCUUGAAAGAAUGAAGUGUACUGUGGUCUUUCUUGUGUUGUCCAUGGUGGUUCUCAUGGCCGAACCUGGAGAGGGUGUUACUAGAAUGUUUGCCAAUGCUGCAAAGGUGAACCACGAUCUUAUCAGCCGCGACUUGAAGCAGCAGCAAGAGCAGCAACAGGAGCAGCUGGAGCAUCUUGACAAACGUGGAAAUAUCUUUCGUUAUGGAUAAAAGAUUUUUCUUGCGCUUCAGCACAAGAAAGAAAAGUGUCUAUGAAGUUCAGGAAUGACUUCUUGACAAUACAGAUGUGCUGAUUUAAUACAAUGCAGAAUACUAAUAAAAUUUGGUGGAUGGUCAGUUGUUCAGAAUAAAUACGCAUUGCAAUAGAA